AGCUGUUUUUGGACUACAACUCCCAUCACCCCUAACUAGCAGGAUCAGUGGUCAGGGAUGAUGGGAAUUGUAGUCCAGAAACAGCU
RNAcentral lists this microRNA precursor (86 nucleotides) under Podarcis lilfordi (Lilford's wall lizard). The record is from RNAcentral. Lineage: Eukaryota; Metazoa; Chordata; Lepidosauria; Squamata; Lacertidae.